UUUUUUUUUUUUUUUUUUUUUUGUUACGCUUUUUUAGGGCCACACCCACGUGGCAUAUGGAGGGUCCCAGGUUAGGGGUUGAAUCAGAGCUGUAGCCACUGGCCUACCCCACAGCAACGCCAGCUCCUUAACCCACUGAGCGAGGCCAGGGAUCAAACCUGCCACCGCAUAGUUCCUAGUCAGAUUCGUUUCCACCGCACCAUGAAGGGAACUCCUAUAUGAGUUUUUUAUGGAUGGAUGGAUGUAUUACAUACGUAUUAUGAUGUGGCACAGCGGGUUAAGGAUCCGGCACUGCUCUGCAGCUGUGGCAUAGGUCGCAUCUGUGGCUCAGAUUCAAUCCCUAGCCUGGGAACUUCCAGAAAGAAAGCAAGAAAGAAAGGGGGGGGUGGGGGGGAGAGGAAGGAAGGAAGUUAACACUUAACCCACCGUAUUUGUGGUAAAUAUUUUCAUGUGGUAUUUUCCCUUUAAGUUUGUUUUUUGAUGGUUUUAUUUUUGUGAGCCAGUCCUAUUAGUGCAGUUGGAUAAUUAGAUUUUUAAUAUUUAUCUCUUUAGUUAAUCUAGAAUUGAUUUAGAUGUAUAGCCUGAGAUUAUAUAACUUACUGUUUUUUCCAGAUACUAAAUGGACGGUCCCAGCACCAUUUUAUUGACUAAUCUAUUUUUUCCCCAAGAUUUGAAGUGCUGAUUUAAAUCAAAUGCUAAAAUGUCAUACAUACUAAGGUUAAUUUUAGGCUAUCCAUUCCUUUUCACUAAUUUCUGCCCAGCUGCACACUAUUUUGGCUACUGUAAGUAGAUAGUAUAUUGCAAUACCUGGUACAUCAAAUUUUCCUAUUUGCCUUUUCAAAACUUCCUUGGCAAUUCUUACCUCUUUAUUCUUCUAAAUGAACAUUAGAAUCAUUCUGUCAGUUUCCAAAAGCAUACUGUUGGGGUUUUGACUGGAAUUUCAUUAAGCUAGUUUGGAAAGAAAUGACAACAUCAAAACAUUCAAUCUUCCUUCCCAGAAGCAUGGAAGCUCUUCCUUUAUUCAAGUUUUUGCUUAUAUUCUAAUGAAAAAUGUUAUGAUUCUUUGUAUGGGUCCUAUACACCUCUUGUUAGGAUCUCCUCCUGGGUAUUUCAUUUGGGGGAUUAUUUUUAAUGGAAAUUUUUCAUUAUUGCAUAUGGCUGAUCAUUGCUGGUAUGAAAGAAAGCUAUGGAUUUGUGUAUUUUAAAAUUAAUUUAAAAUUAAAAAUUUUUAUAUUAGCUUUUCAAAUAAAUCACAAUUAUGCAAUGUAUAAUUUUAAUAGAUCUACAACCAGUUCUGUGUGCUGAUUGAUUCUGUUAAAAACAUAAACAUCCAGGAGUUCCCUUUGUGCCUCAGCAGUAAUGAACCUGACUAUUGUCCUUGAAGACAUGGGUUCAAUCCCUGGCCCCCCUCAGUGAGUUAAGGAUCUGAGGUUGCUGUGGGCUUUGGUGUAGGUUGCAGACGUGGCUCAAAUCUGGCAUUGCUGUGGCUCUGGUGUGAGCCAGCAGCUAUAGCUCCCAUUCAGCCCUAGUCUGGGAACUUCCACAUGUCACAGAUACAGCCCUAAAAUAAAUAAAUAAAUAAAUAUCCAGAGUUCCCUGGUGGCCCAGCAGGCUGGGGAUCUGGCAUUGUCGCUGCUGUGGCACAGGUUCCAUCCCUAGCCUGGGAACUUCCACAUGCCAUGGGCAUGGCCGGGGGGGGCGCGGGGGGGGGGAACAUGUCAAUAUCUGACGUGUGCGUGCUGAGCACCAGUUGGCUGAUGGAAAUAACUAAAGCUAUGUGAGGCUUUCGUCUUAUUCAGUCGAUGCCAUUUGAAGACCUGAGAAACCACUGAAAUUCCUUCUUACGGCAGGCUUGUUACAUGAUUUAGUGAACAGACAAGGCAGAAGAGGACAAGGCGUGGGCGUGCCAGCACGGUCUUACUCCACUGCCUUCCAGGAGUCUCUGCCCAGGGUUCCGGUGCUCCUGUUUCCCCAUCUGCCAGGUGUCUGAGGUUUUUGGAAGGAAGGUCUAUGUGAAUUUUAACUUCCAUCACGACAUAACAGCCUGCAAGAAUUCAUAAACAUUUUCAUCUUGUUUAAUGUAACACAAUCCAUAAAAGGGCAUGUUUCCUGUUAGAGCUGAUGCUUUGCUUUGCCAUCCUAACCCUUAAGAAAGUGCCUUACUCUCCUCUCUCCUCCAGUGGUUAUAGUACAUGCAUUUGUCCAGUGUUUCUUUGUUGAAAAAUGGAAGUGCACAGGGCCGGAGAUUUUGAUACAUUUUGACGCUAAGCAAACUUGCAGCACAAAAGUAAAGCAAUAUGCAGGGCUGGCUGAUUAUUUUCUAAUCAAUCAUUCAGGCACUUUUUCUAAUAGGGCUUCGCACUAAUUUCCUCAGGCCAUCUGGCUCAGCAUUUUUUUUAACCAACCUUAAGGCCCAAGCAAACAGCUGUUGUCUUCAGCGAAGGCAAUUUGGGCUAUGGGCACUUUCUUUGCUCCAGGCCUGCCCUGAGCCACCAGCCAGAGUCCUGGCCCCAUCCCUGCUUCUCUCUGCCCUGGCCUCCAAGAUCAGUCUCCCUAGGCUGACCCGUAGAGCUGUUGGGGGCACCACUCAGACUCAGGCACCUGCCAGUUCUCUCCCAGUUUCCUUGGGUUCUUUCUGGCUUCGAGACCUUCAUGUUGUGCCUUGCAAGUUCCCAAUUCUGGUAAUUAUCCAGCUUCAUAAAUCUGUCCACACCGUUACUGACCCCCAUCGACACCUGAAGCACAGUGUGGUCUAAGGCUCGCUUGGCCUGCUUUCCAUUCGUUCUUGUAUGCACUCAACAAACGCUCAUUGGGCAGCUCCUAUGUGCCUGGCACUGUGCUAGGUCACGGGUAGGCACUUGGGGCACAGCUGUGACCGAGACAGACCACCUCUCUGGACCGUUCCCUCUGUCCAGGUGGGGCACUCAGAACAGAAGAUGAAAAGCCUGGUUUCUCACAGGCCUCCCCACUCCUCCAGCCUAAGUGCCGGGGUUUAGGUCUGCUUCGUGGUCUAGAGUGGUCUGAGUUUAUACUUCAUGGAAAAAUCUCUUGGCAAGUCCCCCGCAUUGCGUCGGAGCACUCAGAGGUGAAUGGAGCUGUUUUCUCAGCCAAGAAGCUCGCACGAAGAUAGAAAGGACGGGAGCUCCCGUCGUGGCUCAGCGGUAACGAACCCAACUGGUACCCGUGAGGACACGGUUUUGAUCCCUGGCCUCGUCCAGUGGGUUAAGGAUCCAGCGUUGCCAUGAGCUAUAGGGUAGGUCGCAGAUGCAGCUCGGAUCCCCCGUGGCUGUGGCAGUGGUGUAGCUGGCAGCUGCAGCUCUGAUUCGACCCCUAGCCUGGGAACUUCCUACGCCAUGGGUGCAGGCCUAAAACGCAAAAAAACAUAAAAAAAUAAGGACACGGUUACGUCUUGUUUUGUCUUGUUUGGGAAAGGGCCCAAGACCACACACUGGGAAUGGAAGCUGACGUCUCUGUGUCACCUUUUGGCACAUGUUUUCCAGCCUGACGGUCAAGUCAUCAGGCUGAGCCCACACAUUACCAACGAGGCUGGCCACCCAGUGUUCUGGUUUCCGUCUUGGAUGCCAGUAAUCCAGUGGAGUUUUUCUUUCAUGAACUGAUUGAAUCACCUAGUUUAGGCAUCAUGGCCACAUGAAAAGCAGCAGACUCCCAGGGAAGGGCUACCUGCCAGAGCCGCAGUCACCUGUUGUCAGUGUUCUUGAGUCCCUGGGCUUUGGAAACGAACCCGCAAAUACUUCUCGUGGAUCCACACUCAAGAACCUUCUACCCACAGCCUGUGAAGCUCCCCUGUGUGCUCCCCAGGAUCAAGCCAUCCUUCUGUGCUGUGGACAGAGACGAUGAAAUCACGCAUCUUUUUAAAAAUGAUCCAGGUCUGUCACUACAAGACGUUUAUGGCAAAACACUGACUUUCCUUCCACUCUUCCAACCUUUUGUGCUCGUUUUUAAGGCAAUCUCUCGACUGUACAUACAGUGUCCCCCUUCUGCAGAAGGGACCUCUUAAGAAGACAUAAUAAAGCAAACAGCUGACUCUACCCCAAAUUCUGUGCAGAGAAUGCAGCAAGUAUUUCCUGGACUUUCACUCACGUUCAGAACAUUGUAACAUGCCCCCUUCUUGCGGAAUGAGUGAGGGUAACCGGGCACAUCAGACUCUGACUUCAAACAUCCUAGCUCUGCUGUGGCCUGGCCACCUACAACCUGCCAGACGAGGCAAGUACACGAUACAAGUUUUGCGUGGCUGUGUCGCGCCCCCUGCCCUGCUCUGGUACCCACACCAUCUAGUGACGACAGAAUAAGGCUGGGAAGUGAAGGCACCUGUGACAGCAGAGGCACAGCCACGUCUUUGCCUGCAUUUUUUGGCUGUAAAGUAGGAAUAACAGUCCCUUCCUCCUUUGUUUACAAAUGUCACUCUGGACAAUGAGAGGACGGUCUGAUGUGCUCUGAGGGGGGCCGUGGAGAAGACAAGACAUUGCUUAACCCCAGAAUACCACCCGGGCAUUAUUUAUUAUUGAAUUAUUUGUUAUUGAAUGGGUUGGACCGCAGGAGGUUGAAAGAGGUGUGGGUUUGAUCCUUUGAAGCCACAGUCAGCAGAAGUGCUUUCAGAAAGUGGAUGGAGGCUGUAAUUGUUCCCUCCCUCUGCAUUCCCGCGGUCGGCCCCUGAGAUGUUAUAUCCGAAAGGUCAUCUAGACAAAGGCUGCGCACAAAGGACUGUCUGACUCCGUCUGAGGCCAGUGUGCGGCUGCAUUUGUAAUUCCCUCCUUCCAAGGUGCCCUGUGGGUCAGGCCCUUGGGAGGGGGCCCCAUGCAGGGCCUGGCCUGCUGCUGGAUCGGCCCAUCCGCCUCCAGCGAAUUGGAGAAGAUGGCCAACCUCCACAGACAGCGAAGAGCCAGGCUCCGUGGGUCCUCUGUGUAAACCGAGUUCCACCUCUCACGAAGAGGGUGGGUCUCAGCCCCUCCGUCCACGGCACAGACCCCAGCCAUGCUGGCCUUGGUCUUCCCGUGGAGGCCGGGCCUAGGCUGGAUGACUUCGAAUGAGAAAUGUCCAUGGAGGGCGUUCCCAUCGUGGCUCAGCAGAAACGAACUUGGCUAGCAUCCAUGAGGACACAGGUUCGACCCCUGGCCUCCCUCACUGGGCUAAGGGUCUGGCAUUGCCGUGAGCUCUGGUAUAGGUCACAGACACGGCUCCAAUCCAGCAUUGCUGUGGCUGUGGGGUGUUGGUCAGCAGCUACAGGUCUGAUUCGCCCCCUAGCCUGGGAACCUCCAUAUGCCACAGGUAUGGCCCUAAAAAAAAAGCAAAAAAAAACAAAAAACAAACCAAAAAAAAUGUCCUUUACAAGACAAAAGAAAAAAGGACAAUGCCGGUGAAGGCUGCCCUGAGCUUUCUCUGGUCUUCAGAUGCUUGGUGGUUGGCCAGGUGCCUCCCUCCACCUUUUCACCUCCUAACAGGGUUGCAGGGGCCAAACAAAGUGCUCUAAAUGGCACGGAGGAAAGGACUGCUGCAACGGUUCAUCUCAGUGACGCAGGCAGCGAUGACCUCAGCAUCCCGGGCAGGAGCCCCGGCCAGGUCUGAGCCCCUCGUGUGAGGGAGGGUCCCCACGGUAGACACUCAGCCAGGAUGGCAGUGACGCUCCCUUCAACGUGGACCGGUUAUGGGAGGACGGCGCGUAAGACAAACGGAUCUGGCCUUAAGAAAUUAUCCUUGAUUUCUCAGGAUGCGGAACGACUGGAAAAGUCAGAGUCCUCCCCGGGGAAGGGAUUCAUGUCUCAGGAUGGGAACUGACGGGUGACUUGGUUAGAUGCUUUGGCGAACAGCGAGCAGGGCGGGGAAUCAUGUAGAUAGGAAGCUCUGGGCCAUUACCCCAAGCCUUCCAUCCCUAAUGGGAACAAAUUGAAUCUGACUCAAGAUACUUGUUGAAUCAGAAGUAAUGUGAGACUCCUGAGAUGGGGACGCCCCCCUUUGUAGAGACAAGAGAGUGGGCCCAGGCAGGGCCCUGCAGGGCUCUGAGCCCCUCCUGCUUUCUGGUCUCCUUGCAGGCCACAGAAAUUCCUUGGGGAGGCCAGGCCACAGGAGGCUGCAGUCUGGAGCUUGGCAUGCAGGUCACUUCUCUCUGGCUCAUCCCAUGGCCACACAGAUCCUGGCCCUCCAUUUACAAAAGGGCCUUUACAAAGGCGAGUGGUAAAAAUGCCCCCAGCACGCCCUCCCCUCCUUCCACCUCUGUCCUUGCCGUUUCUCACCCUAAGCUGUACUUAUUUGUGCAUCUUCCUCCCAGGUGGUCUCCC
Molecule: long non-coding RNA, 6293 nt
Filed under: Sus scrofa (pig)
Lineage: Eukaryota; Metazoa; Chordata; Mammalia; Artiodactyla; Suidae
Description: lncRNA (ENSSSCG00050022967.1)
Source: RNAcentral